ACAAGCGGUGGAUGAUGUGGUUAAUUCGAUGCAACGCGAAAACCUUACCACCUUUGACAUGGCAGGAAUCCCGAAGAGAUUUGGGAGUGCUCGAAAGAGAACCUGCACACAGGUGCUGCAUGGCUGUCGUCAGCUCGUGUCGUGAGAUGUUGGGUUAAGUCCCGCAACGAGCGCAACCCUUGCCAUUAGUUGCUACGAAAGGGCACUCUAAUGGGACUGCCGGUGACAAACCGGAGGAAGGUGGGGAUGACGUCAAGUCCUCAUGGCCCUUAUAGGUGGGGCUACACACGUCAUACAAUGGCCGGUACAGAGGGUAGCCAACCCGCGAGGGGGAGCCAAUCCCACAAAGCCGGUCGUAGUCCGGAUCGCAGUCUGCAACUCGACUGCGUGAAGUCGGAAUCGCUAGUAAUCGCGGAUCAGCAUGUCGCGGUGAAUACGUUCCCGGGUCUU
Molecule: ribosomal RNA, 450 nt
Filed under: uncultured Allobrachymonas sp.
Lineage: Bacteria; Pseudomonadati; Pseudomonadota; Betaproteobacteria; Burkholderiales; Comamonadaceae
Description: bacterial SSU rRNA
Rfam family: Bacterial small subunit ribosomal RNA
Source: RNAcentral